AAUUUUCGAAACAUUUUUCUUUGUUUCCUUCAUUGUUACGCAGUAAACGCAUACGAUUAUGUUGCUGCUUCCCUUCUCUGAUCCUCCGUGAUGGUCUAACGUUUCCCAUAUCACGGAAUCACGAGAAUGGAACCAGUUGGAAAGUGCAAGAAACAAAAAGUAGCAGCCCAUUUACAACUGAUUUCCACAAGUUCGAUUAGAUUCACCCUGGCUUUGCUGCAACGAUGCUGACCGUAGCAACCCCAUUAACGAUGAAUUCCGGUCAUCAACCACCGCGAGGCAAAGUGCAUUGGACGCAGUUUUAACUUCAAAGGCAUGUUGUCAUUUCCACUUGCCAGACGAUUUUUUUUGAAUCUGGCGCCAUUCCAAACUUCCAUUGGGCAAUAUUGAUUUUUUUAUUUCGUCUCGCUAAGAAUAUAUAAGGGAAUUUAACGUUAUCCUUGUAUUUCUAUGCACAAUCGUUUCAAUGCCGCCAGUAUAUGAAACAGGAAAAAAUAAUUAAAUUUGGAAAACCAGCAUCGGCUCGUCUCCUGUUCCAAUAGUUUUCGACUUGUAGGCCGUAAAUUCAUCACUGAAUUGUGUGCUCUUCUUUCUUAACUCUCCCCUCCUACUUCGAACGGACUAAAAAAAAAAAAAAAAAAAGUCAACCCGCCUUUUUACUUGCCGUGUCUCCUUUUUCUGGCUCGUUUUAGCUUUUGAACGAUUUCAAUGGGGGGUCUGGUCUUCGCGAAACGCGGCACAGUCUUUGUGUCAAAAAGGCUGGGCCAUCAGACUGGACUGCAAGUUUCUUAUUCCUUAACGAAGAAAAUGGGAAACGAGCCGACCAACGGGUCCGACUUGUAUCGCGUGUCGAGAUGCUUUUCCGUUUCAAAUUCUCUUUCGCUCCAUCAUCACCUGACUGACUGACCCCAGCAGUGCCAAGCUUAUAAUGUGUAGACGGCCAAAGUUUUUUUCUUUUUCUAGUUUCCUACAGUUGGUUUUUGCAGGCACACUUUCCGCCCAAAGCAGGAACAAAAAAUGAGUUUAAAUAUAUUAAGAAAGAAAAAAAAUUCAGCGGCGGUAUGUUCUUGCUUGAUGACUUCUGACUCCACCCCCCUAUUCAAUCACUUGGUUGUCUUCACCAAACUGUUGAUGUGCCUACCUUUUUCUCUACUUGCAAUCGACUGAAACAUUGCUAGUGAACCCUAUAAUUAUCUAUGGUUCAUUUCGUAUUCAUGAGGCCUCAUUUGGCGACUCCUUAUGACUCCUGCAGUCUCUACUUGUAACCAUUUUUGAAUUCAAAAUGACGUUGCCUACUGCUGCUC
This is a long non-coding RNA of Daphnia magna, 1304 nucleotides long. RefSeq lists it as uncharacterized. The record is from RefSeq and is a predicted model, not a curated record. NCBI's taxonomy places the organism in Eukaryota, Metazoa, Arthropoda, Branchiopoda, Diplostraca, Daphniidae. The transcript is spliced from 4 exons.